Molecule: ribosomal RNA, 401 nt
Filed under: uncultured bacterium
Lineage: Bacteria
Description: bacterial SSU rRNA
Rfam family: Bacterial small subunit ribosomal RNA
Source: RNAcentral
AGGGAAUCUUGCGCAAUGGGCGAAAGCCUGACGCAGCAACGCCGCGUGGGGGAUGACGGCCUUCGGGUUGUAAACCCCUUUCAGGAGGGAAGAAAUUGACGGUACCUCCAGAAGAAGCCCCGGCCAACUACGUGCCAGCAGCCGCGGUAAUACGUAGGGGGCAAGCGUUGUCCGGAAUUAUUGGGCGUAAAGAGCUCGUAGGCGGCUCAGCAAGUCGGCUGUGAAAUCCCGAGGCUCAACCUCGGAACUGCAGUCGAUACUGCUGUGGCUAGAGUCUGGUAGAGGAGAAUGGAAUUCCCGGUGUAGCGGUGAAAUGCGCAGAUAUCGGGAGGAACACCAGUAGCGAAGGCGGUUCUCUGGGCCAGUACUGACGCUGAGGAGCGAAAGCGUGGGUAGCAAAC